UACGUAGGGUGCAAGCGUUAAUCGGAAUUACUGGGCGUAAAGCGUGCGCAGGCGGCUUUGCAAGACAGAUGUGAAAUCCCCGGGCUCAACCUGGGAACUGCAUCUGUGACUGCAUCGCUGGAGUGCGGCAGAGGGGGAUGGAAUUCCGCGUGUAGCAGUGAAAUGCGUAGAUAUCGGAAGGAACACCAGUGGCGAAAGCGGCUUCCUGGUCCAGCACCGACGUUCAGGCACGAAAGCGUGGGGAGCAAACAGG
RNAcentral lists this ribosomal RNA (253 nucleotides) under uncultured bacterium. RNAcentral describes it as "partial 16S ribosomal RNA". It matches the Rfam family "Bacterial small subunit ribosomal RNA", at positions 524 to 776 of the family's 1533-position model. The record is from RNAcentral.